GACGAACCGAGCGAACGUUGUUCGGCAUCACUGGGCUUAAAGGGCGCGUAGGCGGGUGAUCAAGUCCGGGGUGAAAUCCUCCAGCUCAACUGGAGAACUGCCUCGGAUACUGGUUUCCUCGAGGAAGGUAGGGGUGUGUGGAACGUUCAGUGGAGCGGUGAAAUGCAUUGAUAUUGAACGGAACUCCGGUGGCGAAGGCGCCACACUGGACCUUUUCUGACGCUGAGGCGCGAAAGCUCGGGGAGCAAACGGG
RNAcentral lists this ribosomal RNA (253 nucleotides) under uncultured bacterium. Its description in RNAcentral is "partial 16S ribosomal RNA". It matches the Rfam family "Bacterial small subunit ribosomal RNA", at positions 524 to 776 of the family's 1533-position model. The record is from RNAcentral.